AGUUACAUUACGUAUAUAGAUCACCACUUAGUAAACCGUCUGGGAAUAACAGGCACUCCGAAGGCCCCAGUCUCAUCCCGACGGCUACCACGUGACCUUCCUGAGCUUGGGUUUCCUCCUCGGGAAGAUUAGAGGGUUGGCGCAUACUCAACUCUAAGACCUCCGGAACAUGGAAUCUGGGCGUGCACCAUUAUUGACACCUACACCAGCCGUCCCUUUCUUAGAAGACAUACGGUAGCACUUCCACCCUCGCUCAAAACUCGGGAAAGGAGGGGCGGAGAGUGGAUGUCAUCACUCCGCGCCCGGCUGCCCGCGACGCGCCGGCGGGUGGCGCAGCCCUUCGCUCGCCCGGCCUCCCCCUCCCUGGUUCCGCGCUCUGGUUCCGCCAUGGAAUCCAACAAGGAUGAAGCUGAGCGCUGUAUCAGCAUCGCCCUCAAGGCCAUCCAGAUCAACCAGCCCGACCGGGCGCUCCGCUUCCUGGAGAAGGCACAGCGGCUGUAUCCGACGCCGCGAGUUCGCGCCCUGAUUGAGUCCCUCAACCAGAAACCACAGACUGCCGGUGACCAACCCCCACCCACAGACACAACCCAUGCCACCCACAGGAAAGCAGGUGGGACUGAUGCCCCCUCGGCCAACGGUGAAGCUGGAGGAGAGAGCACCAAAGGCUACACUGCAGAACAGGUUGCAGCUGUGAAAAGGGUCAAGCAAUGUAAAGAUUACUAUGAGAUCCUGGGGGUGAGCAGAGGGGCCUCGGAUGAGGACCUGAAGAAGGCCUACCGCAAACUGGCCCUCAAAUUCCACCCAGACAAGAACCACGCACCUGGUGCCACUGAAGCCUUCAAAGCCAUUGGCACAGCAUAUGCGGUACUCAGCAACCCGGAGAAGAGGAAGCAGUAUGACCAGUUCGGCGAUGACAAGAGCCAGGCGGCCCGGCACGGCCAUGGGCAUGGGGAUUUCCACCGCGGCUUUGAGGCCGACAUCUCCCCUGAAGACCUCUUCAACAUGUUCUUUGGCGGUGGCUUCCCUUCUAGUAACGUCCACGUCUACAGCAACGGCCGCAUGCGCUAUACCUACCAGCAAAGGCAGGACCGCAGGGACAACCAGGGUGAUGGCGGGCUAGGGGUGUUUGUGCAGCUGAUGCCUAUCCUCAUCCUGAUUCUCGUGUCAGCUCUCAGCCAGCUCAUGGUCUCCAGUCCACCCUACAGUCUGAGUCCAAGACCGUCCGUGGGCCACAUCCACAGGCGAGUCACUGACCACCUGGGUGUCGUCUACUAUGUGGGAGACACUUUCUCCGAGGAGUACACAGGCUCCAGCCUCAAAACAGUCGAGCGGAAUGUGGAAGAUGAUUAUAUCGCCAACCUCCGGAACAACUGCUGGAAGGAGAAGCAGCAGAAGGAAGGCUUGCUGUACCGGGCACGCUACUUUGGCGACACAGAUAUGUACCACAAAGCACAGAAGAUGGGCACCCCCAGCUGCAGCCGACUGUCAGAGGUGCAGGCCUCCCUGCAUGGAUAGUCCUGGGCCAGCCACACCACCGAGGUCCAAGUAUGAGCCAGGGCUGCCUCCACCCUGCACCUCCUGGCAGCUUUGGCCCUGGUCAUGAGCAGAGGAGGGAGGGGGAGAAAGGGAGGAAGCCUGGUGAUUGUGGCAAAGACUCCUGUCCCCAGCCUGACCUCCAGCCUCCAGAGACCGAGCAGCUGUGGGGCCUGCUGGGAAACCAAGACUAUGAAAUCCCUGGAGAAUUUUUGGUGACAUGCACUGAGCCAAGGUGAUGGACUGUAUAUUUGAGGAAAGACAAACAAAGAAACAAAAUUAAAAUGGAAUUGGAGGCCGAACGCUGCACAGCUGCCCUCUCUCUCACCCAGUAAAUGCAGAAAGCUCUUAGGACAGACAGAAAACCUGCCAUGGGGCUGCUUCCCUCCCUCCCAGGGCUGGCGGAGGCUCCGCAUCGCCUCUCUCCUAGGAUACAGAAACCAUGGCAACGAAAGUAGAAUGUAAAACUUGCAGCAGAUAUCAGUGGGAAGGGCUGGGGGAGGGGGCGCCCAGCUGCCUUUCCUCCCUCACAGGAGCCACCACCAGCCACCUCUCAGGAGAAGCCAGAGGCCCUGGCCAAAGAUAGGAGGAAGAAAGAGAACUCUCCAUAGAAUGUAAUUUAUAGAUGCGUGUAUAUGUAUAUAUAUCUAUUUAUAUGUAAAUAGGCAUAUAUGAAGAUAUAUAUAUAUAGUCUACUUUUUAAACUCUGCAGGGAUUUGGUUAAGUUGUUGAGCUGAUUUCUUCCAUGUUUUAGAAAAUGAGGCCUGUUUGGGGAAGGUACCCUGGUGAUGUUUUUGCUAGACAUUAGCUGUAGCUGACAGCAUAAGGAGAGUCGCAUCAGAGCUUUUCACAGCCCCCCGAAACCCCAGCCUGGUUUUGAUGGCAGCAGUAAUCAUGAUAGUGUGAACCCGCGAAGGCCUCAGGAUUAUGGUUAACCUGGAGAGGAGCAGGCCGUGGAGGCAGGUGCCAGGUCAGUAUUGAGUCACAGUAGAGGCCCCACAAGGACCUGCUUGGGUGAGACCACCCCUCCCCUCUCAGCAGCGCUGGUGGGCUCUUUGUCCUGGUGCCCAGGAGCCCUCCAGCCUCACUGCCCACAGAAGGGAAGGCCUGCAGAGGGGGCCAGGAUCUACCUAAUCAUUUCCCCACCCCUAAGUCCCUCAGUGGGCUUUGCCUUAUAGGUGCCACAGGGCACAGCUCCAUCAUUGCCACUGGUUUUUCCUAAGUCAUGCACCAAGGACUUCAGAAAGUUCUUCCUCCGAGUCAGUCAGUGGUGCCGGGACCCCAGGGCAGCCUCCUCGACUCCUGAAGAAAAGUCAGUGCCCGUGGCUGCCUCUGUCUUCACCCGCUGUGGAUGUGACCGCCAGGCCUCCUCUUGUACCUUGGACAAAGGAUACACCUGAACCAGAAUAGUUUUCUUACCCUCACAUUGAAAUGAGGAUUUUGCUUAAAACAGCACUUGCUGCCAGUGGGAGGAGGGAGGUUUUAUUCCCACAGUUUCUCCUGGGCCUUCUGGAAUGACCAUGUUUUCCUGUGGCGGUGGGUGUGUCAUUGCGCCCGCCGUCUUCCAAAGCCUUACUUCCCCAAGCUGCCAGCCAGGAGGUGAUAACCACCCUCCCAGAGUUUCUCUCGGCUCUUUUUUUAAAAGUCCCCCAACAAAUAGGAUUCUUGCUGGGAAAGGAAGUUCGGUAAGGAAAUGUCAAAUCUGGUUUUUAAACAAGGUCCCACCCUGCAAUGAAGCAGCCACUUCAGCCCAGAGAGAUUAUAAGAACUGAUGUGGCCAGAGUGCCCACCCACUGUGGCCCUGGUGCUCUGCCCCCACGCCCCGACCAUCUGGUCUUGGUAGAUGUCCCUAGACGGGCUGAGCCAUGUGCAAUAAGAACAUAGAUCCUAAAGGAUCCCCUGGAAGCUGUAUUUCUUGAAUUAGAAUUCUCAAAUUGUACAUCUGUUAAUAUAUGUUUAUUAUGUGA
Molecule: RNA transcript, 3500 nt
Organism: Pan troglodytes (chimpanzee)
Lineage: Eukaryota; Metazoa; Chordata; Mammalia; Primates; Hominidae
Gene: DNAJB12
Gene name: DnaJ heat shock protein family (Hsp40) member B12
Exons: 9
Source: RefSeq, a predicted model, not a curated record